AGCGAACGCUGGCGGCAGGCUUAACACAUGCAAGUCGAACGAACCCUUCGGGGUUAGUGGCGGACGGGUGAGUAACACGUGGGAACGUGCCCUUAGGUUCGGAACAACACAGGGAAACUUGUGCUAAUACCGGAUAAGCCCUUACGGGGAAAGAUUUAUCGCCUUUGGAGCGGCCCGCGUCUGAUUAGCUUGUUGGUGAGGUAAAGGCUCACCAAGGCUACGAUCAGUAGCUGGUCUGAGAGGAUGAUCAGCCACACUGGGACUGAGACACGGCCCAGACUCCUACGGGAGGCAGCAGUGGGGAAUAUUGGACAAUGGGCGCAAGCCUGAUCCAGCCAUGCCGCGUGAGUGAUGAA
RNAcentral lists this ribosomal RNA (356 nucleotides) under uncultured bacterium. RNAcentral describes it as "bacterial SSU rRNA". It matches the Rfam family "Bacterial small subunit ribosomal RNA", at positions 29 to 412 of the family's 1533-position model. The record is from RNAcentral.